UACCCACCGUCUGCCUUUCGUGCCCUCGCAGCCCCCUCGCAGGAGAGCCCUGUAUCAGGUUUUCUCUGGUGAGCUUCUAGAGCAGCAGCCGUUUUCCUGAUGGACUAAGACGGACACAUUUUGUGCUUCCGCUUCUUCAUCUGCGAAAUGCUAAUGGUACCUAUCUCACAGGGCUGCUGUGAACUUUAACCAGUGAAUAUAUUUGAAGUGAGUAGGUCAGAACCAGGCACACAGCACGUGGCAGCUGUUCUGGAAAAUACAGCCAAGGCACCAAACUCCAUUUAGGAUCUUAGGGAGGAGAUCUUGAAGCCUUAAAGGAUGAGAAGAAAACCAGACCUCCUAAAACCCUUCAAAUUUCCUGUGAUGAGAGCCACCAAGGUAUCUUUCGUGAUGUUAAUAAGCGACAUCUGGAAAGCACCUAUGGGUGGAGGCCGGUUGCCAGUGGAACCAACAGUCUGAUUUGAAGGGGUCGUAGGACGUGGUAGCAAGAAGUGUGUCUCAGUUGACCUGUAGAUGAGCCAACACCAGACAUCCAUCCAUGUCUGAUCUUCUGUGCUGACCUUGGCGACUGGAAAUGACACAACCCAAUUUUUCUGGUGAUUCCACUGAACCCCUGAUCUUUUCCUUCAUGUGACAAAGCACCCAUAAGAUACUCCUGCUGAAUACAGAUAGCUCCUCUGAUUGAGAACAAGCAUGAAUCUGGUUAUCUGCCUUCUCCUGUACAUUAGGCCAUUUGUAGGUUCCUCAUCUCCCUUUCGAGGU
Suricata suricatta (meerkat) is the source of this 762-nucleotide long non-coding RNA. RefSeq lists it as uncharacterized. The transcript has 3 exons. NCBI's taxonomy places the organism in Eukaryota, Metazoa, Chordata, Mammalia, Carnivora, Herpestidae. The record is from RefSeq and is a predicted model, not a curated record.